CCUACGGGAGGCAGCAGUAGGGAAUCUUCCGCAAUGGACGAAAGUCUGACGGAGCAACGCCGCGUGAACGAAGAAGGUUUUCGGAUCGUAAAGUUCUGUUGUUAGAGAAGAACACGCAGAACAGUAACUGGUUCUGCGCUGACGGUAUCUAACCAGAAAGUCACGGCUAACUACGUGCCAGCAGCCGCGGUAAUACGUAGGUGACAAGCGUUGUCCGGAUUUAUUGGGCGUAAAGCGAGCGCAGGCGGUCUUUUAAGUCUGAUGUGAAAGCCCACGGCUCAACCGUGGAUGGUCAUUGGAACCUGGAAGACUUGAAUGCAGAAGAGGUAAGUGGAAUUCCAUGUGUAGCGGUGAAAUGCGUAGAUAUAUGGAAGAACACCAGUGGCGAAGGCGGCUGUCUGGUCUGUAACUGACGCUGAGGCUCGAAAGUAUGGGGAGCGAACAGGAUUAGAUACCCGAGUAGUC
This 465-nucleotide ribosomal RNA is filed under the name Vreelandella stevensii. RNAcentral describes it as "partial 16S ribosomal RNA". It matches the Rfam family "Bacterial small subunit ribosomal RNA", at positions 338 to 795 of the family's 1533-position model. Lineage: Bacteria; Pseudomonadati; Pseudomonadota; Gammaproteobacteria; Oceanospirillales; Halomonadaceae. The record is from RNAcentral.